UCAGCAGCCGCGGUAAUACAGAGGUGGCAAGCGUUGUUCGGAAUUACUGGGCGUAAAGGGCGCGUAGGCGGCCUUCUAAGUCAGACGUGAAAUCCCCCGGCUUAACCUGGGAACUGCGUCUGAUACUGGAAGGCUUGAGUGCGGGAGAGGGAUGUGGAAUUCCAGGUGUAGCGGUGAAAUGCGUAGAUAUCUGGAGGAACACCGGUGGCGAAGGCGGCAUCCUGGACCGACACUGACGCUGAGGCGCGAAAGCUAGGGUAGCAAACGGGAUUAGAUACCCCGGUAGUCCUAGCCCUAAACGAUGAGUGCUUGGUGUGGCGGGUAUCGAUCCCUGCCGUGCCGAAGCUAACGCAUUAAGCACUCCGCCUGGGGAGUACGGUCGCAAGGCUGAAACUUAAAGGAAUUGGCGGGGGAC
RNAcentral lists this ribosomal RNA (415 nucleotides) under uncultured bacterium. RNAcentral describes it as "bacterial SSU rRNA". It matches the Rfam family "Bacterial small subunit ribosomal RNA", at positions 508 to 921 of the family's 1533-position model. The record is from RNAcentral.